This 1869-nucleotide unclassified non-coding RNA is filed under the name Hevea brasiliensis (rubber tree). The record is from RNAcentral. Lineage: Eukaryota; Viridiplantae; Streptophyta; Magnoliopsida; Malpighiales; Euphorbiaceae.
GGUUAGAUGUGGAACUGUUUGGAAGGUUUGCGAUGCGGCAGUUCAUAAGAAAAUUGAUGUCAGUUUAAAUUUAAUGAGUGGAAAAUCAGUCUUGACACCCAAGACCCAACAGCCUUGUGAAGGAUGCUUGAUACUAAUUUAUGUGCAGCAGGACUUAUCUUUUUUGCUGACUGUGGUGGGAUGGCAUAUCUGGAAUCACUGUAUCUCUUUAAUUUUUUCUAAUGUAUACCUACUCUACCACACAUGCACAGAGAAAUUACACUAGCACCAAUUGUUGGUUUUCUAAUUGUCAAGACUUUGAAUGGGAAAAUUCAGUAAAGAGAGAGAAUGCAUUGCAGAAUGUUCUGACCUUGCAUUGGUCAAUUCUCAUUUCUGAAUUCUGUAAAACAUUAUUGUGUUGCAUUUUUCUGUGGGGUGGCCACAAAACUGUUGCUUCUCUAAUUGUAAUUUCUCUUAUUAUUUGGUUUAGUUUAAUUGUUUUUCAGGAAAUUUUUGUUCACUAAAUUGAUAGUUCAAAGAUCUGGUGACCCUUAGAUAAGUGCCAUGUGGAGUAUUAUCUACUACUAUGGUUAUAUGACCACUUAUAUGACCUAUUUGGAUGGUUGGACAACCUCUAGAGUGCUUGAAUGACCACUCUUGGUUGCUGAAGGGGUCUUUAUAACAUGGUUAAAUUAUCUGCAAGACUAGGAAAGGGUCAAAGGGCCAAGAGGGUCUUCCUUAGCUCUCCAACGGCCAAGUUAGUAAGGGUAGUAAUGAGGCUAAAAGAGAGUAAAUGAAUUUAAGCAGAGUGAAAGCAAGAGUAAAUGACUCUUAAAAUGUUCUAUACCUGGUACCUACAGGAGUUAUAUAAAAUCGUCCAACCAAUAGGAGAAGGCCAUGUGUCCUGUCAUAGCAAGUUGAGCUUUAAUAGAAUACUGCAAGUUCUAAAGGAAGGUCUUGUCUAUCAUAAUUAUACAUGAUAGUAGUCACUGUCAUGUUGAAGUGUUAGUGGUAAUUAUCUUGGGAUUUUGCCUUUUAGGGCAGUUAUGCUAGGGUUAUAGAGGUUUCUAGAGUUCCAGGACAUUAAAUGUGUUUAGUCGGCUAUUUUAUACCCCCAGUUGGCAUAAGGUGACUUGGGAUGUAAGGUGCUUAUUCUAUGGGCCCUAGAGCACUCAUUAAGUUGAUAUAGGUUACUCAGGGUAUUACUUAGGUUCAAAAUGAGUGGUCAUGGUCGUGGAGGGUGAGUUGUUAGUGCUUGCACCCACCUGGUGAGCCCUAAGUUUAAGCACAUCUUCCUCAUAGCAUAUGAUCUAUGUUUUAUGACCUACAUACUACGACCAGUCGGUCAUGGUUGUGGAUACAUGGCAUAAUCAUAAGAGGUUUGAAUCUUCCUUUUGUAUCACAACCUUUAUCAUAUUGUGCUCUCUAGAAAGUUACAAUUAGAUAUCAAUUUUAGGCAUGAAUUUAUGCUAUGCUAAGUAUUGAUUAUAUUGGCAUCUCAAUUGCAUUAAUUUUAUCAGUGGCCAAUUUGGCUACUGAACACCAACCUUGCUUAUUUUUGCUUUUGUUUUUUUUCAUAACUAUUGCUUAAUAGCCUUUUUUUGAGAUAUAUUUAUGGAAAAUGAGAAAUUGACAUUUUUAAUCCUUGAUAGACUUAAUGAUGUAGAACAAACAGAACAAAGGAGAAGAAAAACAAUUUCUCAAAUUUAUUAUUUCUCAAAUCAAUUGUCAAUCACAGAAAAAUGUCUCUCCAAAGUACUUAGAAGACAAGUAUUUAUAGAGCAUUUGUAAUCCUUCUAGUAUUAGGAUUUGGAAUCCUGAACAAGAAAAUAUUAAAUAAAUUCUAAUUAGAAAUCCUAAACCAAUUUAACUUCCUAAAUAAAAUAAAAU